UGUUCGAGUAACAAAUAUAAAACAAGCAACGAAAUGUGUUUCGGGUCGGGUCAGGGUUGGAACAUUGUUCGACCCGAAACACAUUAACAUCCAAACAAGCCAACCAAACACAGAGUCAAACAUGUCGCAGAAAAGUGAAAACCCCUCCCCUUCGGCUUCUUCUCCGACGACUGCUGCUGCCCUCCGAUCGACGCGCCUCCGCCCUCCGUUUGUCUGGGCGUAGGCACAGCUGUUGGGACUUGGGAGGAACUGGAAGGAGCUCAAUCUCUCUCCCGCCUAUCUGGAUUCGCUCUUGGGGCUGACCUGGAAAUCCUCCCGAGCCCUGCGCCCGAUCGUCGGUCUCCGAUUAGCCAUCGUCGUUGUCGAGUUCAGGUGACAGCAUAAGCUACGCCAGCGGGAACUUCCUCAGCGAUGUUUACUCUGAUUCUGUCUACAAGCAAACCUAAGCCUGAGAAACAAGUAGCAGCCGAAGAGAUUGAGGAACAGCAGCAGCUAAUUGAGAUGCAAUCUAGCAAGCAAAGCUCCGGUGAUUAUGAGGAGAAAUAAGCAUUUUGGUGAAAGAAAAUCAUUUCAGUUUUCACAUUUCUGUGUCUCAAAAUAUUAUGGUGGAUUGUCCACACUCCAUGGUUAGAUUGGUCUGAGCAACAUAAAUUGCUUCGCUCUUUUUGUGAGUACCUAUGCCGUUUAUUGGCAUCCUCAUCUGGGUGUACUGAGUCUCCAUCAUAUCUGACAAGAAAUCUAGAUAGAUGAUGCAUUCCUUUUGCUACCAUUCUUUUCCCAUUCAUUCCAGUGAUCUAGUGAAUACGAAGAAUCAUAGAUUGUUCUC
This is a long non-coding RNA of Eucalyptus grandis, 826 nucleotides long. RefSeq lists it as uncharacterized. The record is from RefSeq and is a predicted model, not a curated record. Lineage: Eukaryota; Viridiplantae; Streptophyta; Magnoliopsida; Myrtales; Myrtaceae. The transcript is spliced from 2 exons.